Molecule: ribosomal RNA, 464 nt
Filed under: uncultured bacterium
Lineage: Bacteria
Description: partial 16S ribosomal RNA
Rfam family: Bacterial small subunit ribosomal RNA
Source: RNAcentral
GACGAACGCUGGCGGCGUGCCUAACACAUGCAAGUCGAGCGAAUGAAGUUCCUUCGGGACUGGAUUUAGCGGCGGACGGGUGAGUAACACGUGGGCAACCUGCCUCAUAGAGGGGAAUAGCCUUCCGAAAGGGAGAUUAAUACCGCAUAAGAUUGUAGUAUCGCAUGAUACAGCAAUUAAAGGAGCAAUCCGCUAUGAGAUGGGCCCGCGGCGCAUUAGCUAGUUGGUGAGGUAACGGCUCACCAAGGCGACGAUGCGUAGCCGACCUGAGAGGGUGAUCGGCCACAGUGGGACUGAGACACGGCCCAGACUCCUACGGGAGGCAGCAGUGGGGAAUAUUGCACAAUGGGGGAAACCCUGAUGCAGCAACGCCGCGUGAGUGAUGACGGCCUUCGGGUUGUAAAGCUCUGUCUUCAGGGACGAUAAUGACGGUACCUGAGGAGGAAGCCACGGCUAACUACGUG